CGGGCUGUGGCGCAGCUUGGUAGCGCACUUGACUGGGGGUCAAGGGGUUCACCCCCUCCGGUCGGCCCGAACA
This 73-nucleotide transfer RNA is filed under the name Dietzia sp. HMSC21D01. Its description in RNAcentral is "tRNA-Pro". It matches the Rfam family "tRNA". Rfam says of the family: Transfer RNA (tRNA) molecules are approximately 80 nucleotides in length. The record is from RNAcentral. Lineage: Bacteria; Bacillati; Actinomycetota; Actinomycetes; Mycobacteriales; Dietziaceae.